RNAcentral lists this ribosomal RNA (453 nucleotides) under uncultured Cytophagales bacterium. Its description in RNAcentral is "bacterial SSU rRNA". It matches the Rfam family "Bacterial small subunit ribosomal RNA", at positions 341 to 792 of the family's 1533-position model. Lineage: Bacteria; Pseudomonadati; Bacteroidota; Sphingobacteriia; Sphingobacteriales. The record is from RNAcentral.
ACGGGAGGCAGCAGUAGGGAAUAUUGGACAAUGGGUGAGAGCCUGAUCCAGCCAUGCCGCGUGCAGGAAGAAGGCGUUAUGCGUUGUAAACUGCUUUUGCCAGGGGAUAAAAUAACUGUGCGCAGUUAAUUGAAGGUACCUGGUGAAUAAGCCACGGCUAACUACGUGCCAGCAGCCGCGGUAAUACGUAGGUGGCAAGCGUUGUCCGGAUUUAUUGGGUUUAAAGGGUGCGUAGGCGGCCCCGUAAGUCAGUGGUGAAAUAUCUCAGCUUAACUGAGAGGGUGCCAUUGAUACUGCGGGGCUUGAGUACAGAUGAGGUAGGCGGAAUUGACGGUGUAGCGGUGAAAUGCAUAGAUAUCGUCAAGAACACCGAUAGCGAAGGCAGCUUACCAAGCUGUAACUGACGCUGAGGCACGAAAGUGUGGGGAUCAAACAGGAUUAGAUACCCUGGUA